RNAcentral lists this ribosomal RNA (467 nucleotides) under uncultured bacterium. Its description in RNAcentral is "partial 16S ribosomal RNA". It matches the Rfam family "Bacterial small subunit ribosomal RNA", at positions 28 to 506 of the family's 1533-position model. The record is from RNAcentral.
GACGAACGCUGGCGGCGUGCUUAACACAUGCAAGUCGAACGGAAAGGCCCUGCUUUUGUGGGGUGCUCGAGUGGCGAACGGGUGAGUAACACGUGAGUAACCUGCCCUUGACUUUGGGAUAACUUCAGGAAGCUGGGGCUAAUACCGGAUAGGAGCUCCUGCUGCAUGGUGGGGGUUGGAAAGUUUCGGCGGUUGGGGAUGGACUCGCGGCUUAUCAGCUUGUUGGUGGGGUAGUGGCUUACCAAGGCUUUGACGGGUAGCCGGCCUGAGAGGGUGACCGGCCACAUUGGGACUGAGAUACGGCCCAGACUCCUACGGGAGGCAGCAGUGGGGAAUAUUGCACAAUGGGCGGAAGCCUGAUGCAGCAACGCCGCGUGCGGGAUGACGGCCUUCGGGUUGUAAACCGCUUUCGCCUGUGACGAAGCGUGAGUGACGGUAAUGGGUAAAGAAGCACCGGCGAACUACGU